GAUGAACGCUGACAGAAUGCUUAACACAUGCAAGUCAACCUGUACUUCGGUUUGGGUGGCGGACGGGUGAGUAACGCGUAAAGAACUUGCCUCACAGCUAGGGACAACAUUUGGAAACGAAUGCUAAUACCUGAUAUUAUGAUUAUAUGGCAUCGUAUAAUUAUGAAAGCUAUAUGCGCUGUGAGAGAGCUUUGCGUCCCAUUAGCUAGUUGGAGAGGUAACAGCUCACCAAGGCGAUGAUGGGUAGCCAGCCUGAGAGGGUGAUCGGCCACAAGGGGACUGAGACACGCCCCUUACUCAUUCCGGCGGCAGCCGUGGGGAAGGUUGGACCCUGGACCGAGGGUCUGAUCCAGCAAUUCUGUGUCCACGAUGAAGUUUUUCGGAAUGUAAAGUGCUUUCAGUUGGGAAGAAAAAAAUGACGGUACCAACAGAAGAAGUGACGGCUAAAUACGUG
Molecule: ribosomal RNA, 454 nt
Filed under: uncultured bacterium
Lineage: Bacteria
Description: partial 16S ribosomal RNA
Rfam family: Bacterial small subunit ribosomal RNA
Source: RNAcentral